Molecule: small nuclear RNA, 117 nt
Organism: Loxodonta africana (African savanna elephant)
Lineage: Eukaryota; Metazoa; Chordata; Mammalia; Proboscidea; Elephantidae
Source: Ensembl
GUGUUGUAUGAAAGGACAGAAGGUUAGCACUCCCCUUAACAAGGAAGAGGCCCUUGGCCUUACAACAGGCAUAGUGAUAAGGCAUUGCCGCCUAUUUCGUGGCAUAUAACCACAGUU